CGCUUCCCAGGAUGGAGUGAAAAGUACUGGAGCCCCAGGGAAGGGAAGGCGCCGCAGGUGUAGAACCAAGCCGGGGCUGUGCUGAACCCACUGUGGGAAGCCUGAAAGUCUGGAGGGAGCUAAGCCCUCAAGCAAGCUGCAGUGGGAAGGGAGCCCAGGAGACAAGUUCAUUGCCUGUGCUACCGCCAGGCCUGCGGUCGCCUUGGGAUGCAUGACAGUGAGCAGAGCAGACUCCCUGGACUAGCCUCUGCUCGUAUAAAAAGCACCCCCGAGGACCCAGUGGCCCACUGUGAGAGCCAGCCCUCCUGACCAUGCCCCCAGCACCAGAUCUGGGAAAGACCCUGGCAGGGAGGGGCAUGGAAGUGGUGGUUGUUGUGGCCCAGUCUGAAGGCAUUGGGUACAGAGGCUGUAGCACCUGGGUGGGCUCUGCCUGAAGACCGCUCUGGCUCAUCUCACUCACAGCAGAAUCCCUAGGAUCUUACUGUGGAAGGAAUGAAUGCAUCGAUGGAUGAGUGCCCCCGUUUGCUCCUUAGCAACAUCACCCAACCCACCUGCCUGUGCCACACCUUCUAGCCAUGCUUGGAGCAGGAACCUUGGGCAUCUCGGCCUCCGUUUCCCUACCUAUAAGUUGGGGGAAUGGUGGGGGGUGGUGCUCCCCUCACCCCUCUUUUUAAUGCCCUUCUUCUCCUUGAGGACAAGUUUUUCAGGAAUUAACCUGCAAGAAUUAUCUGGAAAUCUGUUAAAACGCAGAUUCUAAUUAAGUUUGGCAGGAGUGGGACAGGUUCUAGGUUUCUAACUAGCCUGGGUGAUACUGACGUUAGCGUCCACGAACUGCACCCUGAGGAGUGACAGCCUAGGUCAUUUCCCAGGGAAUGGACGGAGUGCUUCUCCUCAAGGUGUUAUAUGGCUGCGUAACAAGUCAGAAAUCCACAAGGGUGCUUAAGACAAACUUGCUAGGAAACAAUCUGAAUGGGCCAAGUCAGAACUCCUUAAAAAAAUUUUUUUUUAAUUGUAUUAAAUAUACAUAACAUGAAA
This is a long non-coding RNA of Bubalus bubalis (water buffalo), 1035 nucleotides long. RefSeq lists it as uncharacterized. The transcript is spliced from 2 exons. Lineage: Eukaryota; Metazoa; Chordata; Mammalia; Artiodactyla; Bovidae. The record is from RefSeq and is a predicted model, not a curated record.